GCCGGGCGUGGUGGCUCACGCCUGUAAUCCCAGCACUUUGGGAGGCCGAGGCGGGUGGAUCACCUGAGGUCGGGAGUUCAAGACCAGCCUGACCAACAUGGAGAAACCCAGUCUCUA
This 117-nucleotide non-coding RNA is filed under the name Chlorocebus sabaeus (green monkey). Lineage: Eukaryota; Metazoa; Chordata; Mammalia; Primates; Cercopithecidae. The record is from Rfam by way of RNAcentral.